Molecule: ribosomal RNA, 446 nt
Filed under: uncultured bacterium
Lineage: Bacteria
Description: partial 16S ribosomal RNA
Rfam family: Bacterial small subunit ribosomal RNA
Source: RNAcentral
CCUACGGGUGGCAGCAGUCGAGAAUCAUUCACAAUGGGGGAAACCCUGAUGGUGCGACGCCGCGUGGGGGAAUGAAGGUCUUCGGAUUGUAAACCCCUGUCAUGUGGGAGCAAAUUAAAAAGAUAGUACCACAAGAGGAAGAGACGGCUAACUCUGUGCCAGCAGCCGCGGUAAUACAGAGGUCUCAAGCGUUGUUCGGAAUCACUGGGCGUAAAGCGUGCGUAGGCUGUUUCGUAAGUCGUGUGUGAAAGGCGCGGGCUCAACCCGCGGACGGCACAUGAUACUGCGAGACUAGAGUAAUGGAGGGGGAACCGGAAUUCUCGGUGUAGCAGUGAAAUGCGUAGAUAUUAGGAGGAACACCAGUGGCGAAGGCGACUUUCUGGACUGUACCUGACGCUGAGGCGCGAAAGCGUGGGUAGCGAACGGGAUUAGAUACCCGGGUAGUC